CCUACGGGAGGCUGCAGUGGGGAAUAUUGGACAAUGGGGGCAACCCUGAUCCAGCCAUGCCGCGUGUGUGAAGAAGGCCCUCGGGUUGUAAAGCACUUUCAGUGAGGAAGAACGCCUGGUGGUUAAUACCCAUCAGGAAAGACAUCACUCACAGAAGAAGCACCGGUUAACUCCGUGCCAGCAGCCGCGGUAAUACGGAGGGUGCGAGCGUUAAUCGGAAUUACUGGGCGUAAAGCGCGCGUAGGUGGCUUGAUAAGCCGGUUGUGAAAGCCCCGGGCUCAACCUGGGAACGGCAUCCGGAACUGUCAAGCUAGAGUGCAGGAGAGGAAGGUAGAAUUCCCGGUGUAGCGGUGAAAUGCGUAGAGAUCGGGAGGAAUACCAGUGGCGAAGGCGGCCUUCUGGACUGACACUGACACUGAGGUGCGAAAGCGUGGGUAGCAAACAGGAUUAGAUACCCGGGUAGUC
RNAcentral lists this ribosomal RNA (465 nucleotides) under Vreelandella stevensii. RNAcentral's name for it is "partial 16S ribosomal RNA". It matches the Rfam family "Bacterial small subunit ribosomal RNA", at positions 338 to 795 of the family's 1533-position model. The record is from RNAcentral. Lineage: Bacteria; Pseudomonadati; Pseudomonadota; Gammaproteobacteria; Oceanospirillales; Halomonadaceae.